GAUGAACGCUGGCGGCGUGCCUAAUACAUGCAAGUCGAGCGAACAGACGAGGAGCUUGCUCCUCUUACGUUAGCGGCGGACGGGUGAGUAACACGUGGAUAACCUACCUAUAAGACUGGGAUAACUUCGGGAAACUGGAGCUAAUACCGGAUAAUAUAUUGAACCGCAUUGUUCAAUAGUGAAAGACGGUUUUGCUGUCACUUAUAGAUUGAUCCGCGCCGCAUUAGCUAGUUGGUUAGGUAACGGCUUACGAAGGCGACGAUGCGUAGCCGACCUGAGAGGGUGAUCGGCGACGCUGGAACUGAGACACGGUCCAGACUCCUACGGGAGGCAGAAGUAGGGAAUGUGAAGAAAUGGGCGAGAGCCUGAGGGAGAAGCGCCGCGUGAGUGAGGAAGGUGUUCGGAUCGGAAAACUCAGUUAUUAGGGAAGAAGAAAAGGGUAAGUAACUAUGCACGUGUUAACGGUACCUAGUCAGAAAGCCACGGCUAACUACGUG
Molecule: ribosomal RNA, 497 nt
Filed under: uncultured bacterium
Lineage: Bacteria
Description: partial 16S ribosomal RNA
Rfam family: Bacterial small subunit ribosomal RNA
Source: RNAcentral